Molecule: long non-coding RNA, 212 nt
Filed under: Gossypium raimondii (Peruvian cotton)
Lineage: Eukaryota; Viridiplantae; Streptophyta; Magnoliopsida; Malvales; Malvaceae
Description: long non-coding RNA (GRAI_LNC010509)
Source: RNAcentral
AAUAACGCUAAGGACUUGUGCUAGGUGGAUUAAGGAGUACUAACUGAGCACUCUUUCUCUUAAUUUGACAACCUUUCAGCAUUUACAAUUUACGUUACAUUUUAUUUGUUACCAAAGAGCAUUAUUAGAAACCCCCCCAUUUUUCCUUUCUCGCAUAUGUUUAUACUAACUUGAUUUCAAUUCUUUUCAAAUAGGUUUAACACGAGCUUCUU